RNAcentral lists this ribosomal RNA (235 nucleotides) under uncultured bacterium. RNAcentral describes it as "partial 16S ribosomal RNA". It matches the Rfam family "Bacterial small subunit ribosomal RNA", at positions 524 to 758 of the family's 1533-position model. The record is from RNAcentral.
UACGAAGGGGGCUAGCGUUGUUCGGAAUUACUGGGCGUAAAGCGCGCGUAGGCGGGCGUUUAAGUCAGUGGUGAAAUGCCGGGGCUCAACCUCGGAACGGCCUUUGAUACUGGACGUCUGGAGUUCGGGAGAGGUGAGUGGAAUUCCGAGUGUAGAGGUGAAAUUCGUAGAUAUUCGGAGGAACACCAGAAGCGAAGGCGGCUCACUGGCCCGAGACUGACGCUGAGGCGCGAAA